This 491-nucleotide ribosomal RNA is filed under the name uncultured bacterium. RNAcentral's name for it is "bacterial SSU rRNA". It matches the Rfam family "Bacterial small subunit ribosomal RNA", at positions 30 to 507 of the family's 1533-position model. The record is from RNAcentral.
AUUGAACGCUGGCGGAAUGCUUUACACAUGCAAGUCGAACGGCAGCACGGGGGCUUGCUCCUGGUGGCGAGUGGCGAACGGGUGAGUAUUGUAUCGGAACGUACCCAGUCGUGGGGGAUAACUCUCCGAAAGGAGAGCUAAUACCGCAUACGUCCUGAGGGAGAAAGCGGGGGACCUAAGGGUAACUGAGGGCCUCGCGCGAUUGGAGCGGCCGAUAUCGGAUUAGCUAGUUGGUGGGGUAAAGGCUCACCAAGGCGACGAUCCGUAGCGGGUCUGAGAGGACGACCCGCCACACUGGAACUGAGACACGGUCCAGACUCCUACGGGAGGCAGCAGUGAGGAAUAUUGGUCAAUGGGCGCAAGCCUGAACCAGCCAUGCCGCGUGCAGGAUGAAGCAUCUAUGGUGUGUAAACUGCUUUUGUACGGGAAGAAACCCUUGCUUGAGAGCAAGAUUGACGGUACCGUAAGAAUAAGGAUCGGCUAACUCCGUG